CAGAUGGAGAUCAACCAGUAC
Molecule: non-coding RNA, 21 nt
Filed under: Rattus norvegicus (Norway rat)
Lineage: Eukaryota; Metazoa; Chordata; Mammalia; Rodentia; Muridae
Source: RNAcentral